Molecule: ribosomal RNA, 253 nt
Filed under: uncultured bacterium
Lineage: Bacteria
Description: partial 16S ribosomal RNA
Rfam family: Bacterial small subunit ribosomal RNA
Source: RNAcentral
UACGUAGGUGGCAAGCGUUGUCCGGAUUUACUGGGUGUAGAGGGCGUGCAGCCGGGCUGACAAGUCAGAUGUGAAAUCCCGCGGCUCAACCGCGGAACUGCAUUUGAAACUGUCAGUCUUGAGUACCGGAGAGGUCAUCGGAAUUCCUUGUGUAGCGGUGAAAUGCGUAGAUAUAAGGAAGAACACCAGUGGCGAAGGCGGAUGACUGGACGGCAACUGACGGUGAGGCGCGAAAGCGUGGGGAGCAAACAGG